CGUCCUAUUAGCUAGUUGGAGAGGUAAUGGCUCACCAAGGCUACGAUGGGUAGGGGUUCUUAGUGGAAGGUCCCCCACACUGGCACUGAGAUACGGGCCAGACUCCUACGGGAGGCAGCAGUAGGGAAUAUUGGUCAAUGGGCGCAAGCCUGAACCAGCCAUGCCGCGUGCAGGAUGAAGGCUCUCUGAGUUGUAAACUGCUUUUGUACAGGAGCAAAAAAGCCACUGCGGGGGUUCUUGAGAGUACUGUAAGAAUAAGCACCGGCUAAUUCCGUGCCAGCAGCCGCGGUAAUACGGAAGGUGCAAGCGUUAUCCGGUUUUAUUGGGUUUAAAGGGUGCGUAGGCGGCUUAUUAAGUCAGUUGUGAAAUCCUAGUGCUUAACGCUAGAACUGCGAUUGAUACUAUU
This 406-nucleotide ribosomal RNA is filed under the name Cardinium endosymbiont of Bryobia sarothamni. RNAcentral describes it as "bacterial SSU rRNA". It matches the Rfam family "Bacterial small subunit ribosomal RNA", at positions 234 to 637 of the family's 1533-position model. The record is from RNAcentral. Lineage: Bacteria; Pseudomonadati; Bacteroidota; Cytophagia; Cytophagales; Amoebophilaceae.